This 284-nucleotide long non-coding RNA is filed under the name Lathyrus oleraceus (garden pea). RNAcentral describes it as "Pisum sativum (pea) long non-coding RNA (PSAT_LNC007832)". Lineage: Eukaryota; Viridiplantae; Streptophyta; Magnoliopsida; Fabales; Fabaceae. The record is from RNAcentral.
AAACUUUGGCCUUACGCCAUUACAUUUUCAAACUCAUUUUCUUAAUCAAACCUGUAAAUAAACUUAACUAUACUUGACUUAAAAUUUCAAAUGCCAAAAGGAACUAACUCAUUCAAACCAUUUUUAGGCCUUUGUGCCUUUCAAACUUAAAAUUUUGUUAAAAGCAUUGCUUCCACUUUGAAAUUAAUACCACAAACUACGAGGUUUUGAUCCCUCAGUUUUAUGUUGGUACGUAGGCACAAGUCCGAAGGUCUUGUCAAACACAAAAAUAUAAUUAACAAAUU